UGGGGAAUAUUGCACAAUGGGCGCAAGCCUGAUGCAGCCAUGCCGCGUGUAUGAAGAAGGCCUUCGGGUUGUAAAGUACUUUCAGUCGGGAGGAAGGUGUCAAGGUUAAUAACCUUGGCAAUUGACGUUACCGACAGAAGAAGCACCGGCUAAAUCCGUGCCAGCAGCUGCGGUAAUCCGGAGGGUGCAAGCGUUAAUCGGAAUUCCUGGGCGUAAAGCGCACGCAGGCGGUUGAUUGAGUCAGAUGUGAAAUCCCCGGGCUUAACCCGGGAAUUGCAUCUGAUACUGGUCAGCUAGAGUCUUGUAGAGGGGGGUAGAAUUCCAGGUGUAGCGGUGAAAUGCGUAGAGAUCUGGAGGAAUACCGGUGGCGAAGGCGGCCCCCUGGACAAAGACAGACGCUCAGGUGCGAAAGCGUGGGGAGCAAACAGG
This 429-nucleotide ribosomal RNA is filed under the name Chloroflexota bacterium. RNAcentral describes it as "Chloroflexi bacterium partial 16S ribosomal RNA". It matches the Rfam family "Bacterial small subunit ribosomal RNA", at positions 355 to 776 of the family's 1533-position model. The record is from RNAcentral. Lineage: Bacteria; Bacillati; Chloroflexota.